GUGCCAGCCGCCGCGGUAAUACAGAGGGGGCAAGCGUUGUUCGGAAUUACUGGGCGUAAAGGGCGCGUAGGCGGCCCGCUAAGUCGAACGUGAAAUCCCCGAGCUCAACUCGGGAACUGCGUCCGAUACUGGUGGGCUUGAAUCCGGGAGAGGGAUGCGGAAUUCCAGGUGUAGCGGUGAAAUGCGUAGAUAUCUGGAGGAACACCGGUGGCGAAGGCGGCAUCCUGGACCGGCAUUGACGCUGAGGCGCGAAAGCUAGGGGAGCAAACGGGAUUAGAAACCCCCGUAGUCC
This 292-nucleotide ribosomal RNA is filed under the name uncultured bacterium. RNAcentral describes it as "partial 16S ribosomal RNA". It matches the Rfam family "Bacterial small subunit ribosomal RNA", at positions 505 to 796 of the family's 1533-position model. The record is from RNAcentral.